This is a long non-coding RNA of Oncorhynchus keta (chum salmon), 656 nucleotides long. RefSeq lists it as uncharacterized. NCBI's taxonomy places the organism in Eukaryota, Metazoa, Chordata, Actinopteri, Salmoniformes, Salmonidae. The record is from RefSeq and is a predicted model, not a curated record. The transcript is spliced from 4 exons.
CCAUUUUUGACACACACGAGAAACUGUCUUGAGUGUGAAAAAAAACCCAGCAGCGUUGCAGUUCUUGACACAAACCGGUGUGCCUGGCACCUACAACCAUCCGUUCAAAGGCACUUAAAUCUUUUGUCCUGUCCGUUCACCUUCUGAAUGGCACACAGACACAAUCCAUGUCUCAGUUGUCUCAAGGCUUAAAAAUCCUCCUUUAACCAUGUCUCCUCCCCUUUAACCAGGUCUCCUCCCCUUUAACCAGGUCUCCUCCCCUUUAACCAGGUCUCCUCCCCUUUAACCAGGUCUCCUCCCCUUUAACCAGGUCUCCUCCCCUUUAACCAGGUCUCCUCCCCUUUAACCAGGUCUCCUCCCCUUUAACCAGGUCUCCUCCCCUUUAACCAGGUCUCCUCCCCUUUAACCAGGUCUCCUCCCCUUUAACCCCCGUCUCCUCCCCCUUCAUCUACACUGAUUGAAGUGGAUUUAACAGGUGACAUCAUUAAGGGAUCACAGCUUUCAUUUGGAUUCACCUGGUCAGUCUGUCAGAGAAAGAGCAGGUGUACUUAAUGUUUUGUCCACUCAGUUUAUUUCACAUUCCUGUGUAGCUUUAUUUUCUCGACAUAAAACUCAUCUCUCACUUUUUCCCCUCCCUUCCUCUCGUUUACUUUCAC